GUGCUUGCUUCAGCAGCACAUAUACUAAAAUCAGAAUGAUAGAGAGAUUAGCAUAACCCCCGCGCAAGGAUGACAUGCAAAUUCAUGAAGCCUUCCAUUAAAAA
Cercocebus atys (sooty mangabey) is the source of this 104-nucleotide small nuclear RNA. Lineage: Eukaryota; Metazoa; Chordata; Mammalia; Primates; Cercopithecidae. The record is from Ensembl.